This is a long non-coding RNA of Melanotaenia boesemani (Boeseman's rainbowfish), 258 nucleotides long. RefSeq lists it as uncharacterized. The record is from RefSeq and is a predicted model, not a curated record. Lineage: Eukaryota; Metazoa; Chordata; Actinopteri; Atheriniformes; Melanotaeniidae. The transcript has 3 exons.
GUUGGUUAUAAAAAGGGUAGAGCCAGGAGCAGAAAACCUUUUCACGACUGCAGCACAUACAGGUGGACUGUGGCUUCAGCAAGCCUGCAGGGUAUGAGAACAAGCCAACGGUAAGCAUCAGUCUGUCAGAUGCAGGAGAGGAACCAUCAGAAACCAUCACGACCGUCCCGGUUUUUACUGCCACAUCCACCUUACAAAAUGUCAACCAACUCCUCCACCUCUUACUCCUUUGAUCCAGCACGCUCCUGCUGUGGCAAC